RNAcentral lists this ribosomal RNA (853 nucleotides) under Arthrobacter sp. RNAcentral's name for it is "bacterial SSU rRNA". It matches the Rfam family "Bacterial small subunit ribosomal RNA", at positions 50 to 914 of the family's 1533-position model. The record is from RNAcentral. Lineage: Bacteria; Bacillati; Actinomycetota; Actinomycetes; Micrococcales; Micrococcaceae.
UCCUUUGGCAAGUCGAACGAUGAUCUCCAGCUUGCUGGGGGGAUUAGUGGCGAACGGGUGAGUAACACGUGAGUAACCUGCCCUUAACUCUGGGAUAAGCCUGGGAAACUGGGUCUAAUACCGGAUAUGACUCCUCAUCGCAUGGUGGGGGGUGGAAAGCUUUUUGUGGUUUUGGAUGGACUCGCGGCCUAUCAGCUUGUUGGUGAGGUAAUGGCUCACCAAGGCGACGACGGGUAGCCGGCCUGAGAGGGUGACCGGCCACACUGGGACUGAGACACGGCCCAGACUCCUACGGGAGGCAGCAGUGGGGAAUAUUGCACAAUGGGCGAAAGCCUGAUGCAGCGACGCCGCGUGAGGGAUGACGGCCUUCGGGUUGUAAACCUCUUUCAGUAGGGAAGAAGCGAAAGUGACGGUACCUGCAGAAGAAGCGCCGGCUAACUACGUGCCAGCAGCCGCGGUAAUACGUAGGGCGCAAGCGUUAUCCGGAAUUAUUGGGCGUAAAGAGCUCGUAGGCGGUUUGUCGCGUCUGCUGUGAAAGACCGGGGCUCAACUCCGGUUCUGCAGUGGGUACGGGCAGACUAGAGUGAUGUAGGGGAGACUGGAAUUCCUGGUGUAGCGGUGAAAUGCGCAGAUAUCAGGAGGAACACCGAUGGCGAAGGCAGGUCUCUGGGCAUUAACUGACGCUGAGGAGCGAAAGCAUGGGGAGCGAACAGGAUUAGAUACCCUGGUAGUCCAUGCCGUAAACGUUGGGCACUAGGUGUGGGGGACAUUCCACGUUUUCCGCGCCGUAGCUAACGCAUUAAGUGCCCCGCCUGGGGAGUACGGCCGCAAGGCUAAAACUCAAGGAAUUGAC